This 253-nucleotide ribosomal RNA is filed under the name uncultured bacterium. RNAcentral's name for it is "partial 16S ribosomal RNA". It matches the Rfam family "Bacterial small subunit ribosomal RNA", at positions 524 to 776 of the family's 1533-position model. The record is from RNAcentral.
UACGUAGGGGGCAAGCGUUAUCCGGAAUCAUUGGGCGUAAAGCGCGUGUAGGCGGUUCUGUAAGUCCGCUCUGAAAGCCCAGGGCUCAACUCUGGGAGGCGGGUGGAUACUACAGAACUGGAGUACGGAAGAGGAGAUUGGAAUUCCUGGUGUAGCGGUGAAAUGCGCAGAUAUCAGGAGGAACACCAACAGCGAAGGCAGAUCUCUGGGACGUUACUGACGCUGAGACGCGAAAGCGUGGGGAGCGAACAGG